GAGGCCCCCACCUCCUGCUGCUGCUGCCGCCGCCGCCGCCGCCGCCACUGCUUCGACUAUUCGUCCUUUGUAGAUGCUUCACGUCCGCCUUGAUUGAGGGCAAGGCUUCCGGCAGAUGACUCAGAACCGUUCAUUGCUCUGGCUUGUGCAAUCCCUGAUUCUUUGGGCCUGUGUGGAUGUCUGUGGGCACCGAAGAGAGGGCCAGUGCCUGGUCUUUGGAGGGUGGUUUUUAUAAAAAGUGUACACAUAGGCUAUUGCCCUUUUUUCACCAUUGAUUCACGUUUGACUCCACUGCAGGUAGACGUCCACCCAAACAUUCUCUGAAAUUGCUCUUGUUAAGGAUACUAAUCAUUUUCUAAUUGCAUUGCCCAAAAAAUACAUCCCAGGUCUUAUUUCAUUUUGUUUGUUGUUGACAUUUAGCCCUUUCCUCUUUGACCUUCCCAGGAUUUCCGGAGCACCCUUCCCUUCUUCCCUGACUCCUUUGCUUGGUAUCCUGAUUCCUUUCCUCCCAUUCUAAGCCCUCUUCUUUUCACUAUAAUAUGAUCUUCUUGUAUGACCUCCACUAUAUCCAUAGGUUCAUGUUUCAACUUUUAACUUCUUCAAAAUCUCUAACCUGUCUCAAGCCGUAGAUGUUACCUGUGUACUACUGGACAUCUCUCAGAAACCUGGGUGUGUCCCUCCCCAAUUCUUUUAACUAAAUGAUCAAAAGUCCUGUUAUUUCUAUCACUUUUGUGUUCCUCCCAUCCAUACUCUCUCACCUCCAUCAUGUCUCAUGUCUCACCUAAACACUUAAUUUUCCUACCUACAGUUCUGAUCCAUGCCAACCUAUUGUCUAUUCUGAAGUUCAGGUCCCUCUGGCUGCAUCAUGGGGUAUAUUAUAGGAGGGUACCAUUGCCUGCAGUGAGAGGUGUUAGGGACACAGCAUGGAUGAGAGAUGAGGAAAGCUGAAAUGAAACAGAGGCAGGAGAAAUGGAGAGGAGGGCAUGGCCUUGAGGAAUUUCCAGGACGUAAAUUUGGCAUCGCUUCUUGGACCAUGAGAGGAAGAGGGAGCAGGAAGAAUCAAAGAUGAAUCCAAGAAUGAACAAAUCUAAUUUUUGAAAUAAUGCAAUGAAAAGUGGAACUGGUCUGUUUUCCUAGGGGAGGAUGGUGAAAUAGAGGUAGUUUGUGUGAUUUGCCCAGAAUCCCAUGAAGAAUUCACAGAAGAAUUGAGACUGCAGUCGGUAUGGCCACAUUCCCAGAGAACUGCUUUUUCUGCCACACCCUGCAAUAAUAAUAUUGUCACAAGACAAUUGGACAGUGUUUCACAUAUUCAGUGAUGGAAGAAGAGUUUAAUUGAAAUAAAUAAAUGCAGGAAAAAUUAAUUCGAUUGUGAUAACACUUAAGGAAUGGAGUGUUCACUCUCUAGGAGAAGUUGGGCUAAACGAUGAAAUGGAGUGUCCCUGUAUGUGAUCUGUGGUGCUGUUUUGUUGCAGUUAAUUCCUAUUUUUAACUUGAAAUGUGUUCUGACUGGGUUAGUGCCAAUGUUUUUGAGACUGGUGUACCUAUCCUAUUGGGUACAUUCAAUUUACACAAGUACAUUCUCUUUUCAGUUCUCCCACC
RNAcentral lists this non-coding RNA (1599 nucleotides) under Pongo abelii (Sumatran orangutan). Lineage: Eukaryota; Metazoa; Chordata; Mammalia; Primates; Hominidae. The record is from RNAcentral.